This 103-nucleotide ribosomal RNA is filed under the name Paphiopedilum superbiens. RNAcentral's name for it is "4.5S ribosomal RNA". Lineage: Eukaryota; Viridiplantae; Streptophyta; Magnoliopsida; Asparagales; Orchidaceae. The record is from RNAcentral.
UAAGGUCACGGCGAGACGAGCCGUUUAUCAUUAUUAUAGGUGUCAAGUGGAAGUGCAGUGAUGUAUGCAGCUGAGGCAUCCUAACAGACCGAGAGAUUUGAAC